Molecule: RNA transcript, 3392 nt
Organism: Macadamia integrifolia
Lineage: Eukaryota; Viridiplantae; Streptophyta; Magnoliopsida; Proteales; Proteaceae
Gene name: protein FAR1-RELATED SEQUENCE 5-like
Exons: 8
Source: RefSeq, a predicted model, not a curated record
UUUAUAUAUGGAAGAGAAAAAUACGGAAUGCUUGUCCGCUGAAACCUGGAAUCCGUAGGUACCCGUUCUUUGCAGUAUAGGGAUUUCACGGAUCUAGGAAGGAAAGGUAAAGUUACCAUUCUCGCCUGCCAUCGCCAUCGCCAUCGCCAUCGCCAUCGGGGGCGACGCCAUGAACAAGAAACAGGGAUGAUGUGAUGCACUGUAUUCUUCCAGCAUGAAUCUUAAUAAUUGGGAAGAAAUGCUAUGUAUUGGAAUCAAUGCUGCUACAAAGCUCACUGCAGGUUUCCCCGAACUUUAUUGCAACAUACUGAUCGAAUGCAUUUGGGGUUGAAUGAUAUCCCAUCCCAAUAGUUGAAGCUUGUAAGAGAUGGUCAGUUUAGCUUCAUCCAUAGAGAUGGAGGAUUAUGCAACGGUUCGGAGUACUUGGUUCUAUAUGGAAACAGAGGAUGUAUAUGGAAGUGAAGAGCAAUCAGAUUUGGAGAAAGCAAUUGAAGUUGAUGCUGCGGAGUUGGAGCCUCAACUAGCAGAUGGUGAUGUUGAGACACAACAAUCUGCCACCUCUGAGCAGUUGCAUAGUGAUGAUGAGGAUAUUAAGGAUGAGAUUGAUUUUGGAGAAGAGAAUGACCAUCAACCAAACAGUAGCAGUGCUUCUAAGGAUGCAAGCGAAGCUGGUACAACCUGUGGAAGCACUGAUGAAACAGAGAUGUUGCCACAAAUUGGGAUGCAAUUCGUUGACUUGAAAGCAGCAUAUUCUUUCUAUAGUAAUUACGCCCGGAAGAAAGGUUUUGGUGUUCGCAUAGAUCGAACAAACCUAUCAAGGAAAAGGGAGUCGGAUGGUUCAAGGCAAGUUCUGUCAAAGAGGUUUGUAUGUUAUAAAGAAGGUUUCCGAAAUGACAACCACAAGCGACAGAGGGGAAAAGAGGUGCGUCGCCGGACAGAGGUUAGAGUUGGUUGUCCUGCAUUUGUUAUGGUUAAAGCAGCUUCUAAUGGAUGGGUAGCUGAUAAAUUUGAAGCAAAUCACAAUCACCCAAUGGUUUUUCCAGGUCAAACAUCCAGGCUCCGAGCACACCAAAAUUUGACUGGUAAAAGUUAUAUGGGAAGAAAUGAAAGGAAUAUUGUUGCUGUCGACUGCCAAGCUGUUUUAGCUUAUUUUGACUCCAUGCAAGCUAGGGAUCCCAGAUUCAUUUAUUCUAUCAAUGUAUCAGAUGAUGGAAUGGUAAGUGGAAUUUUUUGGGCUGAUAGCAAAGCAAGGUCUGCAUAUGAAGUGUUUGGUGAUGUCGUGGUGUUCGACACAAUGUUCAAGACAAAUAGGUAUAGAUGGCCAUUUGGGCCAUUCACUGGCGUGAACCACCAUGCUCAAUCUAUUCUGUUUGGAUGUGGUUUAGUUGUGAAUGAAACAAAGGAGUUGUAUGAAUGGUUAUUUAAGGCAUGGAUGAAUGCAAUGGAAGGCAAGGCACCAAAGGCUAUUAUUACUAUUGAUUGCACUGGUAUUGUACCUGCAGUGAGCAGUGUUUUCCCCAAAACAGUACAUCGUUUUUGUUCACAGCACAUCACAAAGCAUGCCCUAGAGCACCUCGGUGCCCUAUGGUACCUAAACCCUGAUUUUAAGAAGGAAUGGAAGCAGUGCAUUUAUCGUUCAGGGAUAGAGGAAGAUUUUCUAGCUCGGUGGGAAGCGAUGAUGGUGAAAUAUAAUUUGAAGGACCACUCGUGGUUGAAUGAUAAGUUUUCCCUAAAGGAGUAUUGGGUGCCUUGUUAUUUACGAGGCUCAUUCUUUGCCGGAAUGAGGUCGACACAGCGAAGUGAGGGGAUGAACAGUUACUUCCUGGGGUAUUUCAAGGACAAUAUGACAUUAUAUAGAUUUGUCAAGCAAUAUGAAAGGGCUGUUGCUAGGCGAAGAAAGAAGGAAGCUGAUGCCGAGUUCAGAACAUUCACCCAAUUACCUCGAUUGUCCUCGCAAAGUCCACUUGAAGAGCAUGCGGGAAAGGUUUACACAAGGCGGGUGUUUGAGAUUUUUAAGAAACAUUUCAAUGAGAGCAUUAGCUUAUCUGCCCAUGAGGAGUCAGCUGAAGGGCCAGUUCGGAAGUUUAAGGUGGGGCCUUUUAAAGUUCCAAGUGAGCAGAGAUGUGUGGUGGAAUACAACUCCUUAGAGGAAGAGGUGUGUUGUAGCUGUCGUAUGUUUGAGUUCAUGGGGUUGGUGUGUAAGCAUGUGUUAAAGGUUCUACAAAUGGUUGAUCGUGACAGUAUCCCCUCUAAAUACAUUCUAUUUAGGUGGACAAAAGAAGCAAGGUGUGGGCUGCCGGUUGAUUAUAUUCCAGAAUUUUCCCCUGCUACUAUAACAACAAGAUCACUAUGUGGUGUAUCACAUGCCGUCAAGAAUAUGAUGGCCAUGGCAUGCUCAUCCCAGGAAUGUUGUGAAGUUGCUAUGGGAACAUUACAAGGGUUGACUGAGAAGCUUGCCACCAUGGUGCAAAAUGCUACGGGAGUUGGGGUUGGUGAUUCCACUAUAGGCACUCAAAAGUCUACUGUCGAAUCAAUGCCCGAAGCACAUAAGGAUUUGAAUAUGCCUCCUCCAUCCGUGAAUCAUGACUGGCCAAGUCAAGCCCAUCAUAAACCUCCAAUGGAGCAAUCCAUAGGCAAGGGUAAGAACAGGUGUAGUAUAUGUCGCAGCAUUGGGCAUAACAAGAAUAAGUGCGAAGCAGUAGCCAAAGAGACUGGUGAACCUGGGUUAAAGAGGGCUUUGGUGGUGUAUGAAGAACCCUCUGAAGCACCACAGUUCUUUAUUAGGUUUGGAGAUAUGACCUGAGAAGUGUGGGGGCUGCCCUAUGAUUGGGUGCAACCAAAGGUAGACUGGCCUGCUGAGCUUUUAGGUGAAUCUGCAGAAAAGUUAAUUUACUAACUACUGAAUCUUCACUGUCAAAGCUCCAGCUUUGAUGAAAUUUAUUCCAUGCCACCAAGGGCUCUUAAUCUUACUUGUGAAGAUGUCAAAUGCAGGGAGCCAGCGACGACCAACAAGGCUGAAUCUUUUAUUAAUCAAAGGGGGGUAAAGGGAAAGAGCUUUAAGUGGUAAGGUUAUAUUGGCCUAAGCCUAGAUGGCCUUUACUGUGAAGAAAGAAGCUUUGAAUGCAGGGAUAUAUGUACCACUAGAUGUUGGUUUAGCUACAUUGGAUUUUGGCUUCUUGGUCUUUUGGAAGAGGCAUUUACCUUGUUUGCCUUGUAAAUGCUAUGGAUAUUGUGGCCCCUUAUUUAUUUUUAUUUUUUUGGACAUUUGUGUAUGUGUUGAGUCCAAGGCAUGAAAAGCAUUUUAUGUAGCUUUGUUUGUUGCCAGAGGGAUGGUUCACACUGAUAAAGAAAAAUCAAUACAAUGAAACACCUUUGUAGGGGUGUUAUUGCCA